GUGCCAGCAGCCGCGGUAAGACAGAGGUGGCGACCGUUGUUCGGAAUCACUGGGCAUAAAGCGCGUGUAGGCGGCAUCGUAAGUCGGGUGUGAAAUCCCUCGGCCCAACCGAGGAAUUGCGCCCGAAACUACCUUGCUUGAGGACCAGAGGGGAGCCUGGAAUUCCUGGUGGAGCGGUGAAAUGCGUUGAUAUCAGGAGGAACACCGGCGGCGAAGGCGAGGCUCUGGCUGGUUACUGACGCUGAGACGCGAAAGCUAGGGGAGCAAACGGGAUUAGAAACCCGCGUAGUCC
RNAcentral lists this ribosomal RNA (292 nucleotides) under uncultured bacterium. Its description in RNAcentral is "partial 16S ribosomal RNA". It matches the Rfam family "Bacterial small subunit ribosomal RNA", at positions 505 to 796 of the family's 1533-position model. The record is from RNAcentral.